Long non-coding RNA from Chenopodium quinoa (quinoa), 2681 nucleotides. RefSeq lists it as uncharacterized. The transcript is spliced from 3 exons. The record is from RefSeq and is a predicted model, not a curated record. NCBI's taxonomy places the organism in Eukaryota, Viridiplantae, Streptophyta, Magnoliopsida, Caryophyllales, Amaranthaceae.
AAUAAAAGUCAAACUUGAAAAAAACAUAAAUAAUAGAGGUGUUGUUGUAGGAGGCAUGGUGUUUACAAAUGUAAUAAAGUAAUUGUGCCAUGAGAAAAAGAGAGAGAUGGAGGAAUUAUUAUCUCAUAAUGAGGGUAAUAGUUACCCACCCUCCCCCUAGUCACUACUACAAAUCCCUUAGUUUCUGGACGCUGUUUGCUCGACACCAGGUAACAGGUUAGCAAAAAAAAUUAAAUUCCGUGUUUUUUCGACGCGUUUCUGCGUCUCAAUUGGGUCUUGACACUUAAAAGCGUCGAACCUUAGUGCACGUGACUACAGUCCAUCCUGGGACUUCAAAAUUUUAGGAAAUAAUAAGCGGGCUAGCUAAAUUAAAAAAAUUAAAAAAAAAAACCACCCAUACAGUGAGUAUACCAAAAGUUAGACCGAAGAAAUAAAAAAAACCCUUUAGUUCGCCUUCAAAACCCUAAAUUUUCUAUGCUCGCUUACGAUUGACCUCAUCUGAUCUCCUAAACCACAUUGUUGAAUUUUCGUUCCUCUCUUCACUAUUAUCUUCAAUUAUCGGAUUUCGAAACGAUCGAUGCAUAGAAGCCAAGAAUAUAAAUCACAGGUCAUGGUAUUAGAUACUUUUUUAUAUAAUACUUGUUAUUAUUGAUUGGUAUGUGUUUUGCUUGAUUAUGUUUAUUGAAUUGUUGAUUUUUUGUAUUAAUUUCGUGAAAUUUUAAUUUUAUUUGGGGUUUGUGGGUUGAAACUUAUUUAUAGGUACUGAUUCUUGAAAGGCAAUUUGUGUUGAGAAUGCAAAUUGCUAAUAUCAGACAAUGUUUUCCUCAUUUUACAAAAUGUUGAACUCUUAAUUGAUUUAUCACCCUUCAUCGAUAACAACUUCCGCAAAUUAGAUUAAAGCUAUUUGAAAUUAUAGUUUAGAAAAUGAAAAUAAAGGGGUUUUUUUUUCUGCAAAAUAAACUUUAUUAAAUUGGAGAAAUUUUUAGUGAAAAUAAAACAAAGUAGAGCGGCAAGAAAUUGAUUAGGGUAAAGAAGAUAAAUACCCAGAAUCUACCUGCUGCUUAUACAAUCUGCUGCUGCCUGCUGCUUUUUCUCUUUGAUGCUUGCUGCUAUCAGCCUGGUUUGUGCUGCUGCUGCUUGUUGUUCUUCGUGUUCUGCCUGCUGCUUUUUCUCUUUAAUGCUUGCUGCUAUCCUUUGUUUGUUUGUGGUUUUCUGCCUUCUGCUGGUCUGCUGCUAGUUGGUGUUUGUUGCUGCUGCUUGUUGGCUGGUGCUGCUUUAGUCUGGUGCGUUUAUGCUGGUUGGUAGUUGCUGCCUUCUUCUUGCUCAGGCUGCUGCUGCUUGGUUCAGCUUUGCUGGAUGGUGCUGUUACUCUGCUGCUGGGUCUCUUGGGUUCUGCUCCAGGCUGCUGCUUGUGCUUUCUGCCUGCUGCUUUUCCUGUUGUGCUGCUUUAUAGUUUGUCUGUUGUGCUGCUUUAUAGUUUGUCUGCUUGCUGUUGGUUCUCAAGGGCUGCUAUUGUUGCUAUUUUCUUUGCUGCCUGUGGUGUAUAGAUUACUUGCUACCUUGACUAGCUGUUGUUUCUUUCUUUGUUUUUUGGUGUUGUUUCUUUGUUGGUUGUUUAUGUUAGUGAGAACAAUAAUCAAACAAAUGUUUAUGUUGAGAAUGUUAGCCAUAUGUGAACAAGUAGAUUACUAAAAAUCGUACAAGUUUAACUUAUGUAAAAAAUAUAUAUAAACUUAAGCCAAUAGGCUAAUAUUUAUGACAUAUCUUAAAAUUUGAAGUUGUGUUUAAUAGGUGACAGAGGAGGAGCUUGUCUAAAAAUUGUUCUAGAUUGUGAUAGUUGCUGCACUUAGCAAGUUGGCCGAGGUUUCUGGUGUUGUUGUUGCUGGGGCUACUUCCUCCCUGCUUUUGCUACAUAGCUUGUUGAUGCUGCCUGUGCUCAGUUGAUUUGUGUUAGCAGGCUGCUGGUUUUGUUGAUGCUGCCUGCGCUCAGUUGCUUUGUGUUAGCAGGCUACUGGUUUUGUUGAUGCUGCCUGUGCUCAGUUGCUUUGGGGCUGCUGUUUUUUUUUUUUUGGUACAUACCUUGUUGCUGUAGCUUAUAUGGCUGUUUUGUAGGCAACUUUCCAUCUUUUUUUUAUCUGAUUUUGUGUUUGGUGUUUUGGUUUGUUGUGUAUGCGACUGUUUUCAAGCUUAUUAUUUUUUAUCUGGGUUUUUAUUUUGGUUUGUUGUCUUAUUCUGCUGGUUUGGUUUAUUUUGGUUUGAUGUCUUGGGUGUUAGGUUGUUUGGCUCAUUGGUAUUUGUAAUUUUUUGCUGCUUUGCAGCCCUCUUAAUUGGUAAUACAAUAUUAUUUACCAUAUAUAUAUAAAAAAAACAGUAAAAAAAAAAAAUCUAGACGCUUUUUGUUGUCAAGAUAUUUUGCUUUAAUCAGUUUCAAAAUUUCCCGCCACUAUUUUUGUGUGGACAUUAAAAAGCGUCUCAAUUGAUUUUGAGACUGAAAACAAAGUCGACAAUAUAGACGGGAAAAAGCGUCUAGAAAUUUGGUGGUGGCGCCUAAAUACUGAUAUUCUCGACGGUUAAUAUAUUUAAUAAGACAUUAAUAAGCGUCGAUAUUUAAGACACUUAAAGGCGUCACAAAAUAUUGGGACACAAAAUGGUGUCGAGAUUUGUGACACGAAAAAGCGUCG